AUGAAGCAGCAGGUUUUGAGCAAUGCCCAUGGCGGCAGGAUCUCCUCGCCAUCGGUGGCCGCGCGAACCAGGGUUCCAAGAGCAGCAGCAGCAGCAACACCCAUCAAGGAAGCUCCUUCGUCUCCAGCUCCGGCACCCGCCACCCCUCCUCGGGCCAGAAGGCUUGUGAGGGUGAGCAGCAAGGAGGAGAGGGUGGUGACUGGUGCAGCUGCAAAGCCAAAGAGGCACAAGGAGGAUUCCGAGGAGGAGACGCGCAAGCUGCGUGGGGAGGUGGAGGCCCUGAGGAAGGAGGUGGAGAGGCUGCAGCUGCUCAACACCGAGCUGGAAUGUGACAAGAGCGACCUGACGCACCAGCUCGCCCUUGCGCGCUGCACCAUCACCCGACUUCAGGAGCAGCAUGACAUCUAUCAGGCGCAGACCGCUGUGGCGCAACGAAACAACCUAAAAGACAGUGCCAUGAGCAAACCACAGCCUCCGAAGCCCCCCUCACCGCCGCCGCCACCACCACCUAGUAAAAUCCUCGGAAGAGCCCCGGCACCGCCUCCUCCCCCUCCGCAACGUGGCACAAUAGGCACAGUGAACAAGGCAACCGCGUUAGUUGAGAUGUACAACUCCCUGAACAAGCGUGACACCAAGAAAGCUGUGACUGUCAGUGCUGCUCAUCACAACAGCAUCGUCGGCGAGCUACAGAACCGCUCCACGCACUUAUUGGCGAUCAAGACGGAUGUCGAAACAAAAGGAGACUUCAUCAAUGGUCUCAUUAACAAAGUUCAGACCACUACUUACACCGAUGUGGAGCAAGUGCUGACCUUUGUUGAUUGGCUUGAUCAACAACUUUCAACUCUGUCGGAUGAAACAGGCGUGUUGAAGCACUUCAGUUGGCCGGAGAGGAAAGCUGAUGCACUCCGGGAAGCAGCGUUUGAAUACCGGGAUCUCAAGUGUGUCGUAACAGAGAUCUCUUCCCUGAACGCCGACGAUGGCAGCCCUACUUCGUGUGAGGCUACUCUGAGGAAGAUAUCAAGCCUGCUGGAUAAGUUGGAGAAGAGCAUGAAGAGAUUAGUGAACCUGAGGAGCUCGGUGAUGCCGUGCUAUAAACAGUUUGGAAUUCCGACUGAAUGGAUGCUUGAUUCAGGGAUUGCUUCGAAGAUGAGGGUGGCAUCAGUAACACUGGCAAAGGUGUACAUGAAAAGAGCCCUCAAGGAAAUAACAGCUUAUACAGGAGGAGGGAAUGAGGCUGCUCUUGUCGCUCAAAGCGUGCGUUUCACAUAUAGGGUUCACCAGUUUGCGGGAGGACUCGACAGUGAAGCGAUGCGCGCCUUUGAAGAGCUAACGCAACGUUCUCGGUUGACUGCUGUUUAG
This 1359-nucleotide ribosomal RNA is filed under the name Triticum aestivum (bread wheat). Its description in RNAcentral is "partial small subunit ribosomal RNA". Lineage: Eukaryota; Viridiplantae; Streptophyta; Magnoliopsida; Poales; Poaceae. The record is from RNAcentral.